AGACCAUGGCUCGGGCAUUUCCUAAGCAAUUCAGUGAACCUCUUCCACGCUUCCGCAAAAGACUCAUCAUAUUUCUGUCGGAAGGUAGUGAUCUCCUCUCUCAACUU
Salvia splendens (bonfire salvia) is the source of this 107-nucleotide small nucleolar RNA. The record is from RefSeq and is a predicted model, not a curated record. Lineage: Eukaryota; Viridiplantae; Streptophyta; Magnoliopsida; Lamiales; Lamiaceae.